Molecule: ribosomal RNA, 404 nt
Filed under: Actinomycetes bacterium
Lineage: Bacteria; Bacillati; Actinomycetota; Actinomycetes
Description: Actinobacteria bacterium partial 16S ribosomal RNA
Rfam family: Bacterial small subunit ribosomal RNA
Source: RNAcentral
UGGGGAAUAUUGGACAAUGGGCGCAAGCCUGAUCCAGCCAUGCCGCGUGAGUGAUGAAGGCCCUAGGGUUGUAAAGCUCUUUCACCGGUGAGGAUAAUGACGGUAACCGGAGAAGAAGCCCCGGCUAACUUCGUGCCAGCAGCCGCGGUAAUACGAAGGGGGCUAGCGUUGUUCGGAUUUACUGGGCGUAAAGCGCACGUAGGCGGACUAUUAAGUCAGGGGUGAAAUCCCGGGGCUCAACCCCGGAACUGCCUUUGAUACUGGUAGUCUUGAGUUCGAGAGAGGUGAGUGGAAUUCCGAGUGUAGAGGUGAAAUUCGUAGAUAUUCGGAGGAACACCAGUGGCGAAGGCGGCUCACUGGCUCGAUACUGACGCUGAGGUGCGAAAGCGUGGGGAGCAAACAGG